UCCCGGUUGGCCCGGGCAGUCUCGCAUGAAAAAUACAACAUACGACAGGGGUUGCGCUCGUUGCGGGACUUAACCCAACAUCUCACGACACGAGCUGACGACGGCCAUGCAGCACCUGUCACCUGAUUCCUUGCGGCACUCCCCUAUUUCUAGGGGAUUCCAGGGAUGUCAAGCCUCGGUAAGGUUCUACGCGUAGCGUCAUAUUAAACCACAUGAUCCACCGCUUGUGCGGGUCCCCGUCAAUUCCUUUGAGUUUUAGCCUUGCGGCCGUACUUCCCAGGCGGCAUACUUAUCGCGUUAGCUUCGACGCACAGGGGGUCGAUACCCCAUACGUCUAGUAUGCAUCGUUUACGGCGUGGACUAC
RNAcentral lists this unclassified non-coding RNA (364 nucleotides) under uncultured bacterium. RNAcentral describes it as "contains 16S-23S intergenic spacer region". The record is from RNAcentral.